RNA transcript from Humulus lupulus (European hop), 4047 nucleotides. RefSeq lists it as uncharacterized. The transcript has 10 exons. Lineage: Eukaryota; Viridiplantae; Streptophyta; Magnoliopsida; Rosales; Cannabaceae. The record is from RefSeq and is a predicted model, not a curated record.
AUUUAUGUUUUCAUUUAUUAUUUUUGUAUAUAUAAUACAACUUCUAGUGGAAGGAAAUAACAGUCGGAUUUUCCAAAGCAAAAGAGAAAAGCAUAUUAUUAAUGUGGAGUGUGAACUUUUUGAUGUCCUUAGUACGACUGUAGGGUAUUUGAUUCUACUACUUAUUGUUCUUUCUUCCAUGGUAAGUGAUCAUUCUUAUACAUUUUCUUCCUCUUUUUCUUUCUUUCUUUCUUUCUUUGUUUUCUUCUCUCUCUUUCUCUUGUUUUUGUUAAAGAUGCACUCCAAUAAGCCCAAGAAGGAAAGAUCUGUUGCCGGAAGAAGUUUAAUCAAUUCGGUCUUUGAUUGGUCUUUUAAAGAUGUUAUCAACAAUAAUCUCUAUAAAAACAAGGUGAAGAAGAUUCCCCAAACAUUCUCCUCAAAAACAGAAUACUUAAACUCAUUCACUGCUCCUCUUAUGGAGGAAACACAUGCUGACUUGUUAUCAAGUGUGAAAUCAGUGUCUCACUCCCUUUGCUGUGAGAUAAGGUCUGUCACUAGGACUGAUGGAUAUAAGCCUCCCAAAGACUUGUUUUACAAACUUGUACUGAAAAGUAGUGAAAACAAGAAUGACCAUAUGACCUAUGAACCUCAACAUGGAGACCUUAUUGCCAUAACCAGUGUUAAACCAAGAAGCAUUGCUGAUUUGGAAAGGUCUUAUGUUGUUGCUUCGGUUCAACAUGUGAAGGAUGAUCUCGUUCUCACAGUGCUUUCAUCGAAGCCUCUAGAAAACCACAUGGACAGGAAGAAGAAUCCAAGUCUUUUUGCUGUUUAUCUCAUCAAUAUGAUUACUAACAUUCGAAUAUGGCAAGCACUGACUUCUGAUCCUAAAGACCGCAAUAUGAAGAUCGUUGAGAAUGUUCUAAGGCCUGAAUUUCCUGAUGCAGAAAUGUGUAUGAAUUGUCGCUCGAAACAAAAUUGCAGCGCUGCAUAUUUAGAUGCAAAGAUUGGAAUUCAGUCAUCUGAGUUGAAUGAAUCCCAACAGAAGGCGGUUUUAAGCUGCGUUAAGACAAGUGAAUGUACUCAUAAGAAUACUGUGAAGCUUAUAUGGGGGCCUCCGGGGACAGGAAAAACAAAGACUGUUGGUUUUUUAUUGCAUUGCCUGCUUAAUAUGAAAUGUAGGACACUUACAUGUGCUCCCACAAAUGUUGCAGUAUUGGAAGUAACAGAGAGGCUCAUACAAAGAGUUGUGGAGUCAGCUAAGUAUGAUACUUAUGGUCUCGGUGACAUUGUUUUGUUUGGAAAUGGGGAGCGAAUGAAGAUUGAAGAACGCAAUGAGCUUCAUGAUGUGUUUCUUGAUAACCGUGUUGCCAUACUUGAUCAUUGUUUUGCUUCAGAAAGUGGUUGGAGAAAUAGUUUGCUUUCUAUGAUUUCUUUGCUUGAGGACCCUCAAGGAAAGUACCAAUUGUACUUGAAAGAAACUGAAGUAAUAGACUUGAAUGAGGACGAUGAUGACGACGAGGCGAUACAAAAUCAGGACUCGAAGAAUCAAGAGAAGAAAAAUAAGAAACCAUUGAAGCAGGUUAUACUAGAAGCCUUGAAAGAAAACAAGAAGAAUCAGAAAAAGACGAAGGACAGGAAAGAAGAAAAAGAAUCAAAGCAGGAGGAGGAGAGGAAGGGAAAGAAUGAUCUUACUAAAAAGAAGGCGAAUCUCGGAGACAAAACACAUGUUAGUCCUUUGAGUUUUGAGGAGUUUUUUAAAAAGAGAUUUUCUUACAUUGCAGAAAGAUUAUAUUUUUGUAUCGAGAGUUUGAUUACACACCUUCCAACCUCUCUGAUUUCAUUAGAAGUUGUGAGGAGGAUGUUAGAAGCUGUUGAUAAUCUCAAGUCCUUACAAAAGUUGCUGUUUGGAGUUGCAAGCGGAGCAUUAGGAAAAUGUUUUAACAAAGAUGAAAUGAGUGGGAGUGCUAGCUCUGCAAGUUUAAAUGCUGCAAGAAGAAAAAGCUUUUUUCUACUAAAACUACUCCCUUCAACUUUUCCUGUGCCUCACUCUACUAAUGGCAGUUCUGAUAUGAAGGAGAUUAUAGAAUUUUGCUUGGAAAAUGCAUGCCUGAUUUUCUGUACUGUCUCAAGCUCAGCUAAACUACACAAGAAAGAAAUGGUUCCUUUAGAAGUAUUGAUUAUAGAUGAGGCUGCUCAGUUAAAAGAAUGUGAAUCAACAAUUCCUUUACAACUUCCUGGAACUCGUCAUGCCAUACUCAUAGGCGAUGAGCGGCAAUUACCUGCAAUGGUUCAAAGCAAGGUCUCAGAGAAUGCCAAUUUCGGAAGAAGCUUGUUUGAGAGAUUGGCUUUACUUGGCCACAAGAAACACCUUCUCAAUGUCCAACACAGGAUGCACCCUUCAAUCAGUUCAUUUCCAAAUAAACAGUUUUAUAGCAAUAAGAUUUCUGAUGGACAGAAUGUUACACAAAGGAGUUACAGCCAAAGUUUCAUGCAAGGAAAGAUGUAUGGCUCCUACUCUUUCAUAAAUGUGCCAUAUGGAAAAGAGACAUCUGAUAACAAGCAUAGCAGCAAGAACAUAAUAGAGGCUUUUGUUGUCUCUGAGAUAGUUGCAAAGCUUUAUGAAGAAGUUAAAAAUACAAAGAAAAAUGUUAGAGUAGGAGUGAUAUCACCAUACAAGGCACAAGUUUAUGCAAUAAGUGAGAUAAUUGGAAAGAAAUACAGUUCAGAUGCUCAAAGUGAUUUCUCUGUGAGUGUUCGAUCGGUUGAUGGAUUUCAAGGAGGCGAAGAAGAUGUUAUUAUCAUCUCAACCGUCCGGAGCAAUGGCAAAGGAUCAGUGGGGUUCCUUUCCAAUUGUCAAAGAGCAAAUGUGGCAUUAACUCGUGCAAGGCAUUGCCUUUGGAUUGUGGGCAAUGGAGAAACUUUAUGUAAUAGUGGAUGUGUUUGGAAGAAACUAGUCAUGGACGCCAAGGAGCGUAGGUGUUUUCAUAAUGCCAAUGAGGACAAGAAUUUGGCUGUGGCUAUCACUGCUGCCUUGGUUCAGCUUAAACAAAUCCAGCUUUUACCAAAUCUAGAUUCACUUCUGUUUAGAGAGGCAAAAUGGAAGGUUUGCUUCAAUAAUGAUUUCUGGACUUCAAUGGCGAGAGUUAAAGAUUACGAGUGUUGCAAGGAAAUACUUUCUUUAUUGGUGAAGCUUUCAUGUGGCUGGCGUAAUGGAGCUUCAUCUCAAUUAGUAGAGUGUUACAAGGUUAAGCAAAUGUCUAUUGUUUGGACUGUAGAUCUUCUCCUGGAAAAUUCACAUCACAUUCAGAUUUUGAAGGUUUGGAAUGUUUUGGCUCAAUCUGAGGUACCAAAGCUAUCAAAACACCUCGAUUCAAUGUAUGGAAAUUAUUUGCCUGAUAAAUUGAGUCGAUGCAAGUUCAAACAUAAAGAGAGGAAUUUGGUUGUUCCAAUGAAAUGGCCUGUGGAUUCAAGUUCCAUUUCAGCAGAUUCUACUGACUUGUUAUUAAACUCACUGGCCUCACUCACUCUAAAGGAUGAACCAGAAACAUCAUCUUCAAAAAAAAAUAGGUCAGUGCUGGUUUCUAAAGUUCCAUCAGACCUUGUCAAAUCUUCCAAUGUAUUAGAAUGAACUAACAAAUGAGAAUGGUCAAAAAAGAGAUUCAGAAGGAUCUCAAAGUCCUAAAAGAGAAGUUUCGGUCUUACAACUAAUUCACCAAGGAUGGAAGUUUGCACAGAGGUGAUUUAAGGUGAACCGGGUUAGGAUCUUGGGAGAGAUUUUACUUGGAUUGUAGACAAGGAUAAGGGGUGUAUAUUAUACAAGCAAACAUAUCAUCCUAAUGAUUAUUUGUUCUGUCACCCAUUACUGGCCUUAAAUUGUAUAUAAUAGUUGUGUUCUUAAAAAUGUUUCUUCUAGUUGAUCUAUGGACCAAAUGAAACAUCAAUGUACAAAAAAGAAAAAGAAGAAGUUAAAUAGUCUUUUAGUAUAUUCAAAUUUGAAAAUCCUAUUUAUAUAAAAAAAAACUUCUUCCCCAUUUUGAAUGCAGAAAUUAGCUAGCUAUCUUCUGGAAA